RNAcentral lists this ribosomal RNA (468 nucleotides) under uncultured bacterium. RNAcentral's name for it is "partial 16S ribosomal RNA". It matches the Rfam family "Bacterial small subunit ribosomal RNA", at positions 28 to 507 of the family's 1533-position model. The record is from RNAcentral.
GACGAACGCUGGCGGCGUGCUUAACACAUGCAAGUCGAACGGAAAGGCCCUGUUUGUGUGGGGUGCUCGAGGGGCGAACGGGUGAGUAACACGUGAGUAACCUGCCCCUGACUGUGGGAUAACGUCAGGAAACUGGGGCUAAUACCGGAUAGGAGCUCCUGCUGCAGGGUGGGGGUUGGAUAGUUUCGGCGGUUGGGGAUGGACGCGCGGCUUAUCAGCUUGUUGGUGGGGUAGUGGCUUACCAAGGCUUUGACGGGUAGCCGGCCUGAGAGGGUGACCGGCCACAUUGGGACUGAGAUACGGCCCAGACUCCUACGGGAGGCAGCAGUGGGGAAUAUUGCACAAUGGGCGGAAGCCUGAUGCAGCAACGCCGCGUGCGGGAUGACGGCCUUCGGGUUGUAAACCGCUUUCGCCUGUGACGAAGCGUGAGUGACGGUAAUGGGUAAAGAAGCACCGGCUAACUACGUG